AAAGGUUUCACCUGAUGAAUUCACGGGUGAAGCCUGUUCUUUGCAUGCAGAAGGUGGCUGUUUCAAUCCCCAGCACCUCUUGUUAAACAGAAGAGGGAAUAGUUCUCAGCUGGAGACUCUGGAAAGUGGCUUCCAGGCAGAGCAGACAAGAAGGCUGACCUCGAUAGGCUGGGCCCGGGGCAGCUUUCUGUGUUCCUCCAAUGCCGAUCAGGGUGCGUUUUGCUUUGCUGAGCUGGCAACACUCAUAGGAUUGCUGAGAGAAUUUGCUCGCUGUGAAAACGAAAGCAAGCUGCACAGGAAAAGAAAGGGAGGGGCCGUUCCUGUUUCCUGUUGCCUGUGCAGCCUUAAAGGGACACAUUUUAAAAACGGAUCCCAAGCUGUAAAACAACAUGAUGCCUACAGGUCCCUGGUCAUCCCUGUCGCUCUCCGCUGCACCUGCUCCAUUCUGUCCACAUCCUUCUUGAAGUGAGGCCUCCAGAACUGCACACCAGACUCCAGGUGGGGCCUGACCAACGCAGUGUAUAGUGAGACUAUGAAAUCUUGCGAUGUGUAAGUUAUGCCUCUGUUGACACAUCCCAUGCAUCAGCCCAUAGAGUUCAGCAAGGUCAAAACCACGUCAUUCUAUUGCCGCCCCCCCCCCCCGCAUUAAUUGAAAUAAACACAUCGGAGUUCUCAUUCCAACAGGGGGUCCAGGGACACUGUGUAUUAUGUUCCUACUUAUUAUGCUGUGCCAUUCAGUAUACUAUUAUAAAUUAUAAAUUGAGAACC
Heteronotia binoei (common prickly gecko) is the source of this 768-nucleotide long non-coding RNA. RefSeq lists it as uncharacterized. Lineage: Eukaryota; Metazoa; Chordata; Lepidosauria; Squamata; Gekkonidae. The transcript is spliced from 3 exons. The record is from RefSeq and is a predicted model, not a curated record.